Molecule: ribosomal RNA, 439 nt
Filed under: uncultured bacterium
Lineage: Bacteria
Description: partial 16S ribosomal RNA
Rfam family: Bacterial small subunit ribosomal RNA
Source: RNAcentral
CUACGGGUUGCAGCAGUGGGGAAUAUUGCACAAUGGGGGAAACCCUGAUGCAGCAACGCCGCGUGGAGGAUGACACAUUUCGGUGCGUAAACUCCUUUUAUAUAGGAAGAUAAUGACGGUACUAUAUGAAUAAGCACCGGCUAACUCCGUGCCAGCAGCCGCGGUAAUACGGAGGGUGCAAGCGUUACUCGGAAUCACUGGGCGUAAAGCGCGCGCAGGCGGCCUUUUAAGUUGGAUGUGAAAGCCUACGGCUUAACCGUAGAACUGCAUCCAAAACUAUCAGGCUAGAGUGUGGGAGAGGAAGAUGGAAUUAGUUGUGUAGGGGUAAAAUCCGUAGAGAUAACUAGGAAUACCAAAAGCGAAGGCAACCUUCUGGAACAUUACUGACGCUGAGGCGCGAAAGCGUGGGGAGCAAACAGGAUUAGAUACCCUUGAAGUC